GCCUCUGCAAGUAACUACUGGUAAGUCUACUCCCUCUAUUCCCUCAGAACCUCCUGUGGCUUCCUCUACUUCUCUCCCAGCACCUAUAUACACUUCCUCUGAAACCCCACCUUCUACAACUAGAACCUCACAACCUUUACCAAAAUUCAAUCUUGCCCAUACCACUUUACCUCGUUCUGAAGCUGAAGAACUCAAUCAAACCACCUCUUCCUCAGCCCCAGAAUCA
RNAcentral lists this long non-coding RNA (226 nucleotides) under Lathyrus oleraceus (garden pea). RNAcentral's name for it is "Pisum sativum (pea) long non-coding RNA (PSAT_LNC008911)". Lineage: Eukaryota; Viridiplantae; Streptophyta; Magnoliopsida; Fabales; Fabaceae. The record is from RNAcentral.